RNAcentral lists this small RNA (2372 nucleotides) under Pongo abelii (Sumatran orangutan). RNAcentral's name for it is "processed transcript". The record is from RNAcentral. Lineage: Eukaryota; Metazoa; Chordata; Mammalia; Primates; Hominidae.
GGGAGGUCCUGGCUGAGAGCGCCGGCUGCCAGCUGGAGACAUGAUUGCAGUGUGGGCCUUAGGAUUUGAACCAAAGAAAGAAGAAAUUUAAAAAAUGGUAGCUGAAGUUGAUAAAGAAGGAAUUGGCACCAUUAGUUUUGAAGAUUUUUGUUUGCCAUUAUGAGUAUAAAAAUGAUAUAGUUGUGAUUUUAUUUUUCAAAGAAAUACUAGCAAUAACCUGCUACAUUUUAGGGCUGGAGCAAUCAGAACUUUUAUAGAGAAGUAAUUAGAACUAGGUUUUUAAGGAUGGGAGAUAGGAAGAGCAAGAUUAAAUAUGUUUUCAGGGUAGUAAUGAGAAGACUAUGAUGUGGAGAAGAGGUUUUCGUCAGGAAAUAAUGAGGCUAUAUUGCAGGAUAGAGAGAAUGGGGCCAGAAUUUGGAAGCCUUUAAUUCAGCAAACAUAUAUUGAAUGCCUAUUUUUGCCAGGCACUAUUCCAAGGAGCAUUGAAAGAUACAACCUCCCGUUUUGAAGCUUACGUUUUUGGUAACGGAUCUGAAUUAUGAGGUUUAAUAAGAGAUGCAUUCUGGACCACCCUGUGCCUCCUCCACCUCAGCAAGCUCUACAUUUAAGCACCUUGAGGGCAGAUGUGAGUACAUAAUUGUUAAAAGACCAAUAAAUAAAAUCAGAACUCAGCUACUUGGCACAUUGCUGCUUUAGACCCCAAAGAUCUAAUAAGUCCAGCUUGAUAAAAUAAAUAAAUGAAAGACUAGAUAGUUGCUUCUUUUUUAAAAGAGUAAAAAAGAUGAAAAAGAAGAAAUAUUGAUGCCUUUCAAAUUAUUUGAUGAUGAUGAUACUGGAAGUGUAACACUAACCAGUAUCAAGAGGUUUGCUAAGAAACUAGGGGAAAAUUUAAUAUGAUGAACUUCAGGAAAUGCUUGAUGAAGCUGAUCAUGAUGGAGAUGGAGAAAUAAAUGAGGAAGAUUUUUUGAGAGUGAUGAAAAAGACUACUUGUUAUUAAUAGCGUUGUUUUGGUCCUUGUGGAAAAUUAACAGAUUUGUAUUUGUUAUACAGUUUUAUAAUUUAAUAUCUGAAUAUAUUCAUUUUCAGUUUUUAGUUUAUAUGUACACAUUGGCUUCUUGAUGUCUAAUCCAUGUAAGAAGUUACACAUCUCUACCAAUAUGAUGUUAAAUCUACAGCAUCAAGAAACAAAACAUAAUGACUUCUUUGAGCCAUUAAUCUAAGAACAGUAUUAAUUCUAGCUGCUCUUUUGAGAACCCUAGGUCACAAAGACUUGGAAUUUUUAAGUUUGAUGAGGUUGGCUUCACAUCCAAAUGAAUUUGGCAAACAAACCCUAUAUUUUCCUUUUGUGCAACCCAAAAAAACCUGAUGAACAUUUGCUUUUUAGUCAGUUACUCAAAUACAUAAAGUAUUAAAUAGAACUGUCUGGUAACAUUAUUUGCUAAUUUUCUUCUUUCAGUUAUAAAGAAAAUUCAAAAUAGCACUUACAUCACCCAUAUUUCCCUGUAAGUUUGACCCUAUAGUGAGCACUUAAUACCUCUGUGCUAGGACAGGUGGUGUAGAGUUUUAUUUUUUUUAAAUUUUAUUUAUAUGUUUUUUGAGACAAAGUCUCCCUCUGUCACGCAGGCUGGAGUGCAGUGGUGCGAUCUCGGCUCAAUGCAACCUCUGCCUCCUGGGCUCAAGAGAUUCUCCUGCCUCAGCCUGCCGAGUAGCUGGGACUACAGGCACCUGCCACCAUGCCUGUAAUUUUUUGCAUUUUUGGUAGAGACAGAGUUUCACUGUGUUAGCCAUGAUGGUCUCGAUCUCCUGACCUCAUGAUCUGCCUACCUCAGCCUCCCAAACUGCUGGGAUUACAGGGGUGAGCCACUGCGCCUGGCCGAGAUUUUAUGUGUUACCUCAGUAAACAUAUUACAAGUUGGAAGCUGAUUGUAUUAGCUCAAUUUUACAUACAAGAAAACUAAAGUUCAGAGAAGUUUUAAAAAUUCCCCAAUUGCCCAUUGAUAAUAAAUAAAACAUGGAUUCCAAAUCUUAAGUUCUUAUUCUUCAUUAUGCUGCUUCCCUAUGGAUAAAACUUUCAAGAUAACUGUAUUUUCUAACUCAUUUUCGAUUCUGUGACUUGUGAUUUCUUCCUUGUGAAAGAGUCAAACUGUUGGGAAAUGGAAUCUCAUACAUACAGUCUUUUAACUCCUACUCAGUUGUUCCAGAGUGAGCCUUGGGCCUGGAACACUUCUUUUGAAGAGACUAGGAGUCCACAGAGCCUGUGCUGAACUUACCACCCCGUAUAGUAAUAUCUUCCUCUGUUUCAGGGUCAAUGUGUAGUCCUUUGCCCUGCUUAAGCGUGUGCAUCAUAUGGCAUCUGACCAACCCCACUGCUC